Molecule: ribosomal RNA, 459 nt
Filed under: uncultured bacterium
Lineage: Bacteria
Description: partial 16S ribosomal RNA
Rfam family: Bacterial small subunit ribosomal RNA
Source: RNAcentral
CCUACGGGAGGCAGCAGUGAGGAAUAUUGGUCAAUGGGAGAGAUCCUGAACCAGCCAAGCCGCGUGAGGGAAGACGGCCCUAUGGGUUGUAAACCUCUUUUGUCGGAGAACAAAACCCGGGACGUGUCCCGGACUGCGUGUAUCCGAAGAAAAAGCAUCGGCUAACUCCGUGCCAGCAGCCGCGGUAAUACGGAGGAUGCGAGCGUUAUCCGGAUGUAUUGGGUUUAAAGGGGGCGUAGGCGGUCCGUUAAGUCAGCGGUAAAAUGGCGGGGCCCAACCCCGUCGAGCCGUUGAAACUGGCAGACUUGAGUUGGCGAGAAGUACGCGGAAUGCGCGGUGUAGCGGUGAAAUGCAUAGAUAUCGCGCAGAACUCCGAUUGCGAAGGCAGCGUACCGGCGCCAGACUGACGCUGAGGCACGAAAGCGUGGGGAUCGAACAGGAUUAGAUACCCCUGUAGUC